RNAcentral lists this long non-coding RNA (1185 nucleotides) under Marmota monax (woodchuck). The record is from RNAcentral. Lineage: Eukaryota; Metazoa; Chordata; Mammalia; Rodentia; Sciuridae.
CAUCAAGCCAGUGUGCAGGUAGAGUCCCUGCAGAAAUAGGUGCGUUUCCUCUCCCAAGAGAGGGAUGAGAACACACUGCAGCUUUCGCUCUACCAGGAACCAGGAAAGCAGUAUGCCAUGCCACUCACUAACCUGCAAAAGGUUCUAGAGCGUUCCCAACAAGAAGAAAAAGCUCUGUAUUCCGCUGAAUUAGAAAAGGAAAGACAACGUACCACCGAAUGGAAGGAAAAGGCAGAAAAUCUAGAAAGAGAGGCAUUGUUAUUACAGGAACGCUUGGAUGAAGCCAACCAUGUGUUGGAUUCAGCAACCAGACCUACACAACAGUUACAACUAAAGGAAGAACAGAUUGAAGGACUUAAAAAACAAUAAAUGUUGAAUAAUGCACAAAAGAAAUUGAUGAACUCGGGAAAUGGCACAGAAGGAAAAGUGGACAAAGCCCUAAUGAGAAACCUGUUCAUUGGGCAUUUCCAUACACUGAAAAGUAAGUGUCUCGAAGUGUUACAGUUAAUGGGAAGCAUCCUGGGCAUUCAAAAGGAGGAAAUGGAGCAGUUGUUGAAUGGAGAUGAUGGUAGUGUUACCAAGUGGAUGAUGGGAUGGCUUGCAGGAAGAUCAAAAAAUGUUCCCAAAACAUCUUUGACACCAAAUAAGCAAUCUCUGCUUAAUAGUUCUUUUUUCAGACCUUUUUGUUAAAUUUCUGGAAACAGAAUCUCCUUCAUGUGUUCCACCACCAAAAUUUUCUGCUCGUGCCAUGAAGUGUCUAGACUCCAGAGGAAGGAGAAAGGAACGUGCCAAUGUACCAAGAAGUGUGACAGACACAGCAGAAUUCCGAGCUGGUAAAAGAGAGGCUGUGAAUCCAUUCUUGGCACCGUGUCCUGUGGCUGUGCCACUGAUUAGCCUAGAUGGACUUGGACCUGGUGGACCUGGGAAUCUCCUUUUGAAUCCCAUCGCAAACUUCAUGCCCACCUUUACACCAUUGCCAGUGUCCCCCGACAAUAGCACCAGUGUUGUACUAAAGGACCUUUUAAAGCAAUAGGUGAUUCUCAAGCCAGACAUGAUUUAGCACUUUGAAGAAGUCGUAAACACUUUGUACUUUUUAUAAAGUGGCUUUUUGGAAAAGAAGUUGUAUAUUUGUAGGGAGGAAGAACAAAGUUGAUACAUAGAGCUACCAAGUAUUUUGUCUCCCCC